Molecule: transfer RNA, 94 nt
Filed under: Croceicoccus pelagius
Lineage: Bacteria; Pseudomonadati; Pseudomonadota; Alphaproteobacteria; Sphingomonadales; Erythrobacteraceae
Description: tRNA-Pro
Source: RNAcentral
UGCCGCGGUUGACGACGAGGUAGCUUUCGCCGUUCGGCGUGGUGGCGUUACCGGCGAACAGGACGACGCCCGGUUCGAUGCUGAGCGUGACGUC